This 433-nucleotide ribosomal RNA is filed under the name uncultured bacterium. RNAcentral's name for it is "partial 16S ribosomal RNA". It matches the Rfam family "Bacterial small subunit ribosomal RNA", at positions 29 to 507 of the family's 1533-position model. The record is from RNAcentral.
AACGAACGCUGGCGGCAGGCCUAACACAUGCAAGUCGAGCGAGGACUUCGGUUCUAGCGGCGGACGGGUGAGUAACGCGUGGGAAUGUGCCCUUCUCUACGGAAUAGCCCUGGGAAACUGGGAGUAAUACCGUAUACGCCCUAUUGGGGAAAGAUUUAUCGGAGAAGGAUCAGCCCGCGUUGGAUUAGGUAGUUGGUGGGGUAAUGGCCUACCAAGCCGACGAUCCAUAGCUGGUUUGAGAGGAUGAUCAGCCACACUGGGACUGAGACACGGCCCAGACUCCUUCGGGAGGCAGCAGUGGGGAAUCUUAGACAAUGGGGGCAACCCUGAUCUAGCCAUGCCGCGUGAGUGAUGAAGGCCUUAGGGUUGUAAAGCUCUUUCAGCUGGGAAGAUAAUGACGGUACCAGCAGAAGAAGCCCCGGCUAACUCCGUG